UACGAAGGGGGCUAGCGUUGCUCGGAUUGACUGGGCGUAAAGGGCGCGUAGGCGGUUCGUACAGUCAGACGUGAAAUUCCUGGGCUCAACCUGGGGGCUGCGUUUGAUACGUGCGGGCUUGAGUUCGGAAGAGGGUCGUGGAAUUCCCAGUGUAGAGGUGAAAUUCGUAGAUAUUGGGAAGAACACCGGUGGCGAAGGCGGCGACCUGGUCCGAUACUGACGCUGAGGCGCGAAAGCGUGGGGAGCAAACAGG
This 253-nucleotide ribosomal RNA is filed under the name uncultured bacterium. RNAcentral's name for it is "partial 16S ribosomal RNA". It matches the Rfam family "Bacterial small subunit ribosomal RNA", at positions 524 to 776 of the family's 1533-position model. The record is from RNAcentral.